GACGAACGCUGGCGGCGUGCUUAACACAUGCAAGUCGAACGGAAAGGCCCUGCUUUUGUGGGGUGCUCGAGUGGCGAACGGGUGAGUAACACGUGAGUAACCUGCCCUUGACUUUGGGAUAACGUCAGGAAACUGGGGCUAAUACCGGAUAGGAGCUCCUGCUGCAUGGUGGGGGUUGGAAAGUUUCGGCGGUUGGGGAUGGACUCGCGGCUUAUCAGCUUGUUGGUGGGGUAGUGGCUUACCAAGGCUUUGACGGGUAGCCGGCCUGAGAGGGUGACCGGCCACAGUGGGACUGAGAUACGGCCCAGACUCCUACGGGAGGAAGCAGUGGGGAAUAUUGCACAAUGGGCGGAAGCCUGAUGCAGCAACGCCGCGUGCGGGAUGACGGCCUUCGGGUUGUAACCCGCUUUCGCCUGUGACGAAGCGUGAGUGACGGUAAUGUGUAAAGAAGCACCGGCUAACUACGUG
This 468-nucleotide ribosomal RNA is filed under the name uncultured bacterium. RNAcentral describes it as "partial 16S ribosomal RNA". It matches the Rfam family "Bacterial small subunit ribosomal RNA", at positions 28 to 507 of the family's 1533-position model. The record is from RNAcentral.